This 1858-nucleotide long non-coding RNA is filed under the name Phascolarctos cinereus (koala). Its description in RNAcentral is "lncRNA (ENSPCIG00000031007.1)". The record is from RNAcentral. Lineage: Eukaryota; Metazoa; Chordata; Mammalia; Diprotodontia; Phascolarctidae.
UCCAUGUCUAUUCUCUGUGCCUAGUGCUAUCUAAACUGCAAAUAAUUUGUAGCUGUGUCAUUCUCAAAGCCACUUUUAUCGUACUCUCCGAGGACAAAGACUGAGAGUAUGGUGUUGUCCUGGACUGAUGAUCGCUACAAUUGGGGAUCCCGCAAGGAAGGCAUAGAGGAAGAGGGUUCCAGACUUCAAGCUGUGAGGGAGCCCUGAUGGAGCCCUAAGCCCUGGGGUGGAGGGGAGGGAGAUGGCAGUGACAGGCUGUAAGCUAGGGGAGGGCUAGAGCACAGGAAAGGUCAGAAGGGGAAGGAAUCCAGGAAUUAAGUGUAGAGUCAGGAAUCAAAGAGGAAGCUUGGGACGUGUUGGCAGUAACAGAAGGCUAGGCUCACUGAACUGGCAGCUGAAAUAGCUUGCUAUUCUAGCUUCUAAAGAGGUCCCACAGCAGCUGCUCAGGGAGCCUGAUCUGAAACUUGCAAGGGUCUAACUGAAAACAACCGGCUAGGUAGCCAGGCUGAAUAAUAAUAGCCGCUUCCAUUUUAGUGGCAUUUUACAAUCGCCACAGUACUUUGCUCAUCAUGACCCUGUGAGGGAGAUAGUGUGGGGAUCUCUGAGGCAUUGAGAGGUGAAGUAGCUUUACGUGAUCACACAGUGGUAAAAGCUAAGACUUGAACUGAGGGGUCCUGACUCCAAGCCCACUACACAUAACUGUCCUCUCCUGGGGAUAAGGCACAGAGAGGGAAGUUCUUGAAAACUGGAGUUAGAGAGGAAGCUCCAGAGGUCAUCUAGUCCAACUCCCUGUCUCUAGACCUUCCCAAAUACCUGGAUCCCUUUCCUCUACUCAUCUACAUGGAAGUCUUGAUUCUCUUUAAUGUCCUCACACAUGGAUACCUGCCAGUCUGUUGGAUUCUCAGCCCUACCUGUCCAUCCGUCUUUGUCAGUCAACCACAUUGUGUUCAUUGUAUGCCUAGAACUAAGACUUGAACAACAUAGAUUCCCUUUCUCCCCUCUGCUGCCACCUGCAGACCCAUCAUCCUCUCCAAGACCCACCAUCAAAGCCUCAGCAACCUCUGUUUUCUUGGGAGAAAAUUUCAAUGUGACCUGCACUGCUCUGGGAGAACCUGAGAUCACUGUGGACUUCACUUGCGGGUAUCCAGGGCAGCUGGAGGGUCGGCCACCCUUGGUCAGUGAAUGCUCUACUGUGGUGUGCAGAGCUGGUCAGGUACAGCAAGAACGGGAGAGUGUCUUCUAUGCAGAGGAGGCCCGAGCCAAGGACCAAGGCAUCUAUACCUGCUGAGCCACAAACCUUCAGGGGACCUCGACAGCCAGCACCCGAAUUCGAAUUCUCCAGCCCUCACAGAUUCUGGUUUCAGCAGACAAGGCUGGUGACCAUUAAACUCCCUAUUUCACUGAAUGGCCCUGACCUCAGGGCACCUGGAGAGUGAGAGAUAUAUACCAAUGUAGGCCGCCACAUUCAACUACUCCUGUAUUCAGAGGAUGGAUUGCCUUUCCUCCCAUAGUGUGGUCUCCAAUUUCCUUUCCCCUAAGCUUGCUGUAGGUAAUCUUUACUCUAGCCACUAGACCCAGUCUCCAACCCCCAGUCCCUCCAAACCCUGCCUCAGUCCCUAAGUCCCAGCCCCCAACCUCCUCUUCUAACUGGGACCAUCAAUUCUCCUCCCCCUCCAUUAGUGCUCCCAGGCUGGCAAAUAUCCAAUCCCCUCAAGGCCUCAACAAAUCUUGUGGGAAUGAAGCUCAGGAGCUGAGCCCUCACCAUUCAACCUGACCCUGUAGUAGUUGGCUACCCUCAUUCUACUCCUGCCCACCCCACCCCCAAGAUAAAGAUGGAGGCCAAAUAAAGAUGCUGCAC